Molecule: long non-coding RNA, 1550 nt
Organism: Homo sapiens (human)
Lineage: Eukaryota; Metazoa; Chordata; Mammalia; Primates; Hominidae
Gene: EPIC1
Product: epigenetically induced MYC interacting lncRNA 1
Source: Ensembl
GGGCCGGGAUCCAAUGGAGUGGACGCCAGUCAGAGUCUGAAUCCCUGAGAACCAGGAGUACCAACGGCCAGAGGGAACGGAUGUCUGCCUUGGGUCAGGCAGAGAGAAUCCAAACGCCCUCCACCUUUUUGUCCUGUUCCGGCUUCCACAGAUUGGACGAGGCCCACCCACCUUGGGGAGGGGCCAGCUGCUGUGUUCAGUCCGCCAUUGCAAACACGAAGCUCUUCCAGAAACGCCCUCACAGACACCCCGGAAGUCACGUACCCACUCUGUAGGUGCCCCGGGGCACAGGCAAGCGGACGAGCCAGUUAUCCCUCAGAGCUCCUGCUGCCUCGCCCGCUUUCUCUCGGAAACGUGAAGUGUGGCCUCAGCUGAAAGUGAGGUGGGCCUCAUUCAAUCAGUUGAAUUCUUCAAGAGAGAAAAACUGAAGUCCCUUAGAAGGAAAGAGUUCUGCCUUCAGACUGUCUUUGAACUUAAGACUGUAGCGUCGACUCCUGCCGGAAUUUCCAGCCUGCUGGCCAGCUCUGCAGAUUCACACUUGCCAGCCUCCACAAUCGUGCAGCUGAGGCGGAGGAACCCUAAGGGCUCAUUGAGAUCAUGGAUUUGCCCUUCUAUGCAUUGAUGGAGCACCUGCUGCCCACAGCGUCUGUAUUUGGUGCUGGGAUGCUGAGGACACUGAGAUCUUCAAACAGAGGCUGCCACUCUAAGCAAACAGAUCCCGAGCCCUGGACUCUGAAGCUUGGGCCCAGUUCUCCUUUUCUCCGGGUUUCAGAUCCCACUGUGAAGUGAGGGGGCCCUUCUGAUUCAGGACCCGGGGAAGCCAGGGGCAUGAGCAUCGGUGCCUCUUCUCUAUUUCAAGGACCCUUCUGGGUGUAAAGUUCUCUGAGAUGCCUUACAUGGAUUCCCACCACUGCAAGAUAACCAUCGUAUGUAAAGUGUUAUGACCAGCAGAGCGUAAUUGAAGUGCAUUCCAGAGGGAAAGACAGCGGCUCAGAUUCUAUUGAAAGAAACAUGACAUAAUGAUACCACAGCAAAAGCCAAUCUUGCUCCUUUUUAAAAAAUUAAAAACAAAACAAAACAAAAUUAAAAAACAAGAAAAAACACCACCAUAGGAUGUCCACCCUGGGAGACUAAUUCUAAGAGAGAAGCUCUGUUCUUCCACUGCUAAUCACUCCAAAUAAAUACCACGACUGAGCUUGUCGGAGAAGAGAGAGCAGCAACAGCCUUGCCCACAGGUCUUCUCAUCUGCAUGAGAACAAAGUGGAUGGCUCAGAAAGACAGAGACACUCUUCCAUCCAAUAUGAAAUCCCAUCAGAAGUGUAGAGAGGCCUCCAGCUGCAUCCACCUCCAGGCCCCACCCAGCCUCCUGUCCUGAGCCGCUUUGGAUGAGAUCAGGGGCUCAUGAGCCAUGCAAAGCCAGCCCGGCAUUCCUGCCCAGAACAGCCAUGCUUGCAUGUUUCUGUACAUUUCGUCCAUGGUCUUCUUGUCCACAAGUCUUAGCCGGCCUAUUUCCCUUCUCCAGAAACAUAAACAUGGUAUUUGUAAUUUUA